UGCGGAUCUCUGUCAUCUUUAAAACUGGAAUUUCCCUGUCACCAGCCACAGGCACAGAAAGUUCUCAGCACCUUGGGGCUAGGAUGCCACACACUGGAAACUAUGCAUAGUUUUAGGAACACCAGGUUUACUAAAAAUUCAGCGAUGAAAUACUUUUGUAUCUAAACAUCUGACAUCCUGCCGCUGUUCGUUGUGACUGGUGACUUGACUGGGUUAAAGGAGGCUGAGCAGACUGGGUGAAGCUGCAGUGGCUGCUGCAGAAGUCCAGGUACUGGUGCCAUAAGGCAGCCCCGCGUCACCAACACGUACCUUGCCAGGUGCGUUCCCACGCGGAGGCGGAACCGGCUCCUGGGCCCAGUAAGGCCCCUCCCUGAAUCGCCUCAGCCGUUCCACAGAGGACGCAGCUUCCACCGCGCUGAACAGGGCUCCUUCACUGAUCUCUCUUCCAUUCAGUCGUUGAACGUGAAGAACCAUUUCUCUGGCCCACGACAUUUUCUUAAGGGCUGAUGUGUUCACCAUUCACCAUUCCAAGAGAAUUGAGAGACAUUGUAAACUGUAGGUGGUUCAGGACAGCCACAUUCUUUACAUUGGAAACAAUCAUAAAACUUUGAAGAAACGUUUUAAAAUAUUCCACAAGGUGAAUUCUACCUUCAAGGCUUCUAAAGACACCAGAGUUUAUCAGUGUCCAUGAGCAGCAGGAGGCUGGACAACCAAAGGAAGA
Heterocephalus glaber (naked mole-rat) is the source of this 721-nucleotide non-coding RNA. Lineage: Eukaryota; Metazoa; Chordata; Mammalia; Rodentia; Bathyergidae. The record is from RefSeq and is a predicted model, not a curated record.